This is a long non-coding RNA of Nothoprocta perdicaria, 241 nucleotides long. RefSeq lists it as uncharacterized. Lineage: Eukaryota; Metazoa; Chordata; Aves; Tinamiformes; Tinamidae. The record is from RefSeq and is a predicted model, not a curated record. The transcript is spliced from 3 exons.
AUUUUGCCCAGCAAUGUCAGACAUUAGCUGUUGUUUGAUCUCAAGGAAUGAGUAGAACUGCUGUAAUCUGUCACACUUUAGAUGCCGUCACUGGAGACACGCAGUCGCUGUCCUGGUCUGUUAAAGGAACUUKGUAACUGUGCAUUGACUGUGAAGAUCACACACAUUGUAUGACACUUCCUUGCAGAAUGAAUUAUUUCAGAACAGGGAGUUUAGGAUUUGCACCUCAUAUUUGCCCAAG